This 73-nucleotide transfer RNA is filed under the name Apaloderma vittatum (bar-tailed trogon). It matches the Rfam family "tRNA". From Rfam's summary of the family: Transfer RNA (tRNA) molecules are approximately 80 nucleotides in length. Lineage: Eukaryota; Metazoa; Chordata; Aves; Trogoniformes; Trogonidae. The record is from Rfam by way of RNAcentral.
GGCCAGUUAGCUUGGUCAGUUGAGCAUAGCGCUGGCAACGCUAAGGUCGCAAGUUCAAUUCCUGUUCCGUCCC